This 103-nucleotide microRNA precursor is filed under the name Marmota monax (woodchuck). The record is from RNAcentral. Lineage: Eukaryota; Metazoa; Chordata; Mammalia; Rodentia; Sciuridae.
AGUGGGAUAACUGGAUCAAAUGGUAGUUUCAUUCCAAGUUUUCUAAGGAAUAUUAAUACUGCUUUCCAUAGUGGUUGUAUCAGUUUGCAGUCCCAACAGCAAU